CGCGCGAGCGGCGCCAGCUCGGGGCAGCGGAACCCAGAGAAGCUGAGGGGGCGGUAGCGGCGGCGACGGCGACGACGACGACUCCCGCGCGUGUGCCCAGCCUCUUCCCGCCGCAGCCGCCCUUUUCCUCCCUCCCUUACGUCCCCGAGUGCGGCAGUACCGCCUCCUUCCCAGCCGCGCGGCUUCCUCCAGACCUCUCGGCGCGGGAACACAGCCAGGACACAGACGCGGAUGAUGGGGCCUUGCAGUAAGCAGCUCUUGGGACCCAACCACCAUGCUGUGAAGCAGCCCAGGCCACACAGAGAGGCCACGUGUACAUGUUCAGCUGACAGCAGUAUCAAAUGUCAGACAUGAGAGAGGAAGGCUUCAAGAUGACUCCAGCCCAGCCACCGUCUGAGAACAAAGUAAGAACUGCCUCACUGAUGCCAUUCAAAGCCCAGCACCAUGAGAGAUAAUAAAACGUU
Molecule: long non-coding RNA, 464 nt
Filed under: Homo sapiens (human)
Lineage: Eukaryota; Metazoa; Chordata; Mammalia; Primates; Hominidae
Description: HSALNT0266541
Source: RNAcentral